UAUAUCCCGCAGAAUCAUUUUUUCCGUGUUGUUGCCAUUGGUUUUGUUGUGCAAAAAAAAACUGGUUGACUAGAACCAGAUUGAUUUUGAAUCGUUCUUUCUCCAGUUUUAAAUAAUUUCUCGUGCUGAAAAACAAGGUUCUCAACAGCUAUUGCGGAAGAAAAUGGAAGCAAAUACCUUUUGGAGAACCGACUCAAUUUUUCUUGAACAUGAUUUGGUCAGUAUCGUAUUCUCCUUCAAUGCGGCUUCCCGGAUCAUAAACAAUGCCGAACUUGCUGAUAUAAAUGUUCAAUAAUUUGUAAAAUUAACAUAAUUUUUCACGGAAAACAAAUGAAUUUAAUGUGGAAAUUUACAAUGUGAGUG
Armigeres subalbatus is the source of this 363-nucleotide long non-coding RNA. RefSeq lists it as uncharacterized. NCBI's taxonomy places the organism in Eukaryota, Metazoa, Arthropoda, Insecta, Diptera, Culicidae. The transcript has 3 exons. The record is from RefSeq and is a predicted model, not a curated record.